CCACCUCUCGUAGGACCCAUUCGAUUUUCUUUCCCCCAUCCCGGUUUUCUCCCUCUGGCCUGCUCCUCACGCCGGCGUUCCGCGCCGCCGCUGCCGACUGCUCCUCACGCCGGCAUCCCGCGCUGCCGUUGCCGACCUCCAGCCGUCGUCCAGUAACCGCUCCCAAACAACGGCAGCAUGGAUCCUGAUGUGGAGCUCCAAUACGGCCCGAUCUGACCUGGGAGCGACCAGAUCCGUGCGUCUCCGCCUCGCUUCACGCGCCUCCAUGGUCCGCCGUCUUCCCGAGCGCCGGCGCCGCGCUCAGUCGCCGCCGUCCCAUGCCAUGGUAGCCUCCCCUCCAGAACGAUGUGUCAUGGCCGCCUCCCUGCCUCUCCCGCAGAGUUAACUCCCACCCGUACAUGAGCCCCAAGGCACCACGCGAUUCUGAUGAUACACGAACACUGGGUCGGUCCUCUAUCCGGCAGCUCCGUUGGGGAAGCACCAAGAUCCAAACUCCAAGUAUCCGUGGAUAUAGGGAACAGUUAUGGUACAAAUAGACUUGAUUGUACUGACAAUUUUCAGCUUGCACAUGGAUCCCUUAUAGUAUGCAAUCAAGCUUGAUGAUAAAUUCUUGGAGAGACGCUAGGUGCCAGCUGCUCACUGUGCGCAUGGGAUAGGAGGUCAUGCGUGGAGGCUACUCGGAGAGGACUGUAUGCAUGUCCAUGUCCGCGCACUUGGAGCAGCAGCCAAUGGAUGGUCGGCCAGAGGAGGACCAGGGUUGGAGAUUUGGGAUCGGAGACGCCAAGAACAAGGGACCAAGGUGCUGAACUAACGGCACGGGCAGAAUGAUUCUUCAGGGAGCGGCACAGAUUUGGAACAAAUUCCAGAACAGGCAUCCAAGCAUUUGGUCUGGUACCACUAAGCUGCCAGAGCAAGAUAGCUGGGAUGUCGAGUCCAUAGGGCAAUGGUAAAUCACAAAUUGGCUGAUGUUCGAUGGGAAGCAUCAGACAAUACCAAUGUCCAGUAGUAAGAUUUGAUUGUGCAGGUGAUCAGCCCACGUGUGCGUACAUCCCCUGUUAGUCCAGAUUUAGAAAAAUAUGAUUUCUGCUAUGAUAGUUUCCAGAAUAGUUUGGCCCUCGAGACACUUCCACUGUAUGCAUGUGUGUUCCUUUUUUUCAGAGAUAUGCGUCUAUUGAUUAUUAUUGGAAUUGGUUCGACAAA
Triticum dicoccoides is the source of this 1200-nucleotide long non-coding RNA. RefSeq lists it as uncharacterized. NCBI's taxonomy places the organism in Eukaryota, Viridiplantae, Streptophyta, Magnoliopsida, Poales, Poaceae. The record is from RefSeq and is a predicted model, not a curated record. The transcript has 7 exons.